RNAcentral lists this ribosomal RNA (493 nucleotides) under Canis latrans (coyote). RNAcentral describes it as "partial 16S ribosomal RNA". The stretch from base 231 to 348 matches the Rfam family "Bacterial large subunit ribosomal RNA", at positions 714 to 852 of the family's 2925-position model. Lineage: Eukaryota; Metazoa; Chordata; Mammalia; Carnivora; Canidae. The record is from RNAcentral.
CUAGCCCAACCAACCUCAAACUUAAGUGUUACAGGCAUAUAAAAUAGGACAUUUAGUUAAACCAAUUAAAGUAUAGGAGAUAGAAAUUUUAAUUGGAGCGAUAGAGAUAGUACCGUAAGGGAAUGAUGAAAGACAUCUUAACAGUAUAAAACAGCAAAGAUUACCCCUUCUACCUUUUGCAUAAUGAACUAGCCAGAAACAACUUAACAAAGAGAACUUAAGCUAAGUCCCCCGAAACCAGACGAGCUACCCAUAAACAAUCUAAAAGGAUCAACUCAUCUAUGUAGCAAAAUAGUGAGAGGAUUUAUGGGUAGAGGUGAAAAGCCUAACGAGCCUGGUGAUAGCUGGUUACCCACAAACAGAAUUUUAGUUCAACUUUAAAUUUACCUAAAAAAAAUAAAAUUUUAAUGUAAAUUUAAAAUAUAGUCUAAGAAGGUACAGCUUCUUAGAAUAAGGAUACAACCUUUAUUAGAGAGUAUAUACUGACACCAGA